Molecule: ribosomal RNA, 164 nt
Filed under: Clostridioides difficile
Lineage: Bacteria; Bacillati; Bacillota; Clostridia; Peptostreptococcales; Peptostreptococcaceae
Description: partial 16S ribosomal RNA
Rfam family: Bacterial small subunit ribosomal RNA
Source: RNAcentral
UUUUAUUUGAGAGUUUGAUCCUGGCUCAGGAUGAACGCUGGCGGCGUGCCUAACACAUGCAAGUUGAGCGAUUUACUUCGGUAAAGAGCGGCGGACGGGUGAGUAACGCGUGGGUAACCUACCCUGUACACACGGAUAACAUACCGAAAGGUAUGCUAAUACGG